This 253-nucleotide ribosomal RNA is filed under the name uncultured bacterium. RNAcentral describes it as "partial 16S ribosomal RNA". It matches the Rfam family "Bacterial small subunit ribosomal RNA", at positions 524 to 776 of the family's 1533-position model. The record is from RNAcentral.
UACGGGGGGGGCAAGCGUUGUUCGGAAUUACUGGGCGUAAAGGGUUCGUAGGUGGCCUACUAAGUCAUACGUGAAAUCCCUCAGCUUAACUGGGGAACUGCGUCUGAUACUGGCGAGCUUGAGUGCAGGAGAGGAACGCGGAAUUCCAGGUGUAGCGGUGAAAUGCGUAGAUAUCUGGAGGAACACCGGUGGCGAAGGCGGCGUUCUGGACUGCAACUGACACUGAGAAACGAAAGCCAGGGUAGCAAACGGG